Molecule: ribosomal RNA, 468 nt
Filed under: uncultured bacterium
Lineage: Bacteria
Description: partial 16S ribosomal RNA
Rfam family: Bacterial small subunit ribosomal RNA
Source: RNAcentral
GACGAACGCUGGCGGCGUGCUUAACACAUGCAAGUCGAACGGAAAUUCCCUGCUUUUGUGGUGUGCUCGAUUGGCGAACGCGUGAGUAACACGUGAGUAACCUGCCCUUGCCUUUGGGAUAACUUCAGGAAACUGGGGCUCUUACCGCAUAUGAGCUCCUGCUUCAUGGUGGGGGUUGGAAAGUUUCGGCGGUUGGGGAUGGACUCGCGGCUUCUCGGCUUGUUGUUGGGGUAGGGGCUUAUAAAGGCUUUGCCGGGUAGCCGGCCUGAGAGGGUGACCGGCCACAGUGGGACUGAGAAAGGGGCAAGAGUGAAACGGGAGGAAGCGGCGGGGAAUAGUGCAAGAAGGGCGGAGGCAGGAUGGAGGAACGUCGCGUGGGGGAUGACGGUCGUCGGGGAGUAAAAAGCAUUCGCCGGUGACGAAGCGUGAGUGACGGUAAUGGGUAAAGAAGCACCGGCUAACUACGUG